Molecule: ribosomal RNA, 494 nt
Filed under: uncultured bacterium
Lineage: Bacteria
Description: partial 16S ribosomal RNA
Rfam family: Bacterial small subunit ribosomal RNA
Source: RNAcentral
GACGAACGCUGGCGGCGUGCUUAACACAUGCAAGUCGAACGGUGAAGCGCCUUCCUUUUUGGUGGGUGUGGAUGAGUGGCGAACGGGUGAGUAACACGUGAGUAACCUGCCCCCUUCUUCUGGAUAACCGCAUGAAAGUGUGGCUAAUACGGGAUAUUCUGGGUCUGUCGCAUGAUGGGUCUGGGAAAGAUAUUGUUUCGGUGGGGGAUGGGCUCGCGGCCUAUCAGCUUGUUGGUGGGGUGAUGGCCUACCAAGGCGGUGACGGGUAGCCGGCCUGAGAGGGUGGACGGUCACACUGGGACUGAGACACGGACCAGACUCCUACGGGAGGCAGCAGUGGGGAAUAUUGCACAAUGGGCGCAAGCCUGAUGCAGCGACGCCGCGUGAGGGAUGGAGGCCUUCGGGUUGUGAACCUCUUGCGCCAGUGAAGCGGGCCUGCCUCGUUUGUGGGUGGGUUGACGGUAGCUGGAUAAGAAGCGCCGGCUAACUACGUG